AAUAAAGUGCCUGACAAAAGGAUUAUUCUGAUAGAGUAAAUUAUGUAAUUUUUUUUUACCUUUAUUA
RNAcentral lists this transfer RNA (67 nucleotides) under Ninguta schrenckii. RNAcentral's name for it is "tRNA-Ile". The record is from RNAcentral. Lineage: Eukaryota; Metazoa; Arthropoda; Insecta; Lepidoptera; Nymphalidae.